This 322-nucleotide long non-coding RNA is filed under the name Homo sapiens (human). RNAcentral's name for it is "PREDICTED lncRNA (TCONS_00060181)". The record is from RNAcentral. Lineage: Eukaryota; Metazoa; Chordata; Mammalia; Primates; Hominidae.
CAAAACCCCACAGCUCCUAAGAAUUCUCUAACCUGCCUUCUGCCCUUAGGCUCCGGUAGAUUGCAAACGACCUGCUUUCUUUCUGAUCCCGGGCUGCGUUCGGACCCCUGUCGUAUAGAAAAUCCCAAGUAAGGUACCUGCCGUCGGCAGAUCUGAGCUUUCUUCUUGGACACCUAAUACCCACAGUCCUCCAGUGAAGGAUCCAGUGAGAUUUUCCAGGUUAACGGUCAUAAUCGCCUACUGGUCCAACGUUCAGAAGUAACACAGGCACCUGGACAAUACACAGUAGAUGUGGAAGGACACGGUUGUACAUUUAUCCAGG